Molecule: ribosomal RNA, 432 nt
Filed under: uncultured bacterium
Lineage: Bacteria
Description: bacterial SSU rRNA
Rfam family: Bacterial small subunit ribosomal RNA
Source: RNAcentral
AACGAACGCUGGCGGCAGGCCUAAUACAUGCAAGUCGAACGAUCCUUCGGGAUAGUGGCGCACGGGUGAGUAACACGUGGGAACAUACCCUUGGGUGCGGAACAACGUCGGGAAACUGACGCUAAUACCGCAUAAUGACUCCGGUCCAAAGAUUUAUCGCCCAAGGAUUGGCCCGCGCUAGAUUAGGUUGUUGGUGAGGUAACGGCUCACCAAGCCUACGAUCUAUAGCUGGUCUGAGAGGAUGAUCAGCCACACUGGGACUCGAGACACGGCCCAGACUCCUACGGGAGGCAGCAGUAAGGAAUAUUGGACAAUGGGGGCAACCCUGAUCCAGCCAUGCCGCGUGAGUGAAGAAGGCCUUAGGGUUGUAAAGCUCUUUCAGGUGCGAAGAUAAUGACUGUAACACCAGAAGAAGCCCCGGCUAAAUUCGUG